UUUUUAUUGGAUGAUAACUGUCACGUGUCAUGUUCUGAUUAAAUGUCAACUCCAUGAAAGAUGAAAUGCAUUAUUGUUUCUAUUGACCAAUCAGAACAUGACACGUAACAAUCAUCAUCU
Non-coding RNA from Glycine max (soybean), 120 nucleotides. Lineage: Eukaryota; Viridiplantae; Streptophyta; Magnoliopsida; Fabales; Fabaceae. The record is from Rfam.